RNAcentral lists this Y RNA (113 nucleotides) under Prolemur simus (greater bamboo lemur). RNAcentral describes it as "Y RNA (ENSPSMG00000025675.1)". It matches the Rfam family "Y RNA". Rfam says of the family: Y RNAs are components of the Ro ribonucleoprotein particle (Ro RNP), in association with Ro60 and La proteins. The Y RNAs and Ro60 and La proteins are well conserved, but the function of the Ro RNP is not known. In humans the RNA component can be one of four small RNAs -- hY1, hY3, hY4 and hY5. Lineage: Eukaryota; Metazoa; Chordata; Mammalia; Primates; Lemuridae. The record is from Rfam by way of RNAcentral.
GGCUGGUCCGAAGGUAGUGAGUUAUCUCACUCGAUUGUUCACAGUCAGUUACAGAUUGAACUCAUUGUUCCACUAUUUUCUCACUCCUCACUACUGCACUUGAUUAGUCUUAA